AUUGUUAGCAUGAGAGACUUAAUUAUAAGUAUUGUAAUUUAAUUGGAUCUGAUUAAAUUAUGGAUCAAAUUUUAAUUAAUUUAAUUUAAAUUAAAUUUAAUUAAAUUUAAAUUAAUUUAAGGCUAAUUAGAUUUAAUUAUUCUAAUUAGAUUUAAAUUUCAAUCUUGAUUGGAUCAAGUUUGACAGUUUUUUCGAAUUGGAUU
Molecule: long non-coding RNA, 203 nt
Filed under: Elaeis guineensis (African oil palm)
Lineage: Eukaryota; Viridiplantae; Streptophyta; Magnoliopsida; Arecales; Arecaceae
Description: long non-coding RNA (EGUI_LNC072749)
Source: RNAcentral